RNAcentral lists this small RNA (180 nucleotides) under Actinomyces urogenitalis. RNAcentral's name for it is "c-di-AMP sequence". It matches the Rfam family "c-di-AMP riboswitch aptamer (ydaO/yuaA leader)". From Rfam's summary of the family: This family represents a conserved RNA structure found upstream of the ydaO and yuaA genes in Bacillus subtilis and related genes in other bacteria. The ydaO/yuaA element is thought to act as a genetic "off" switch for the ydaO and yuaA genes in its native state. The record is from RNAcentral. Lineage: Bacteria; Bacillati; Actinomycetota; Actinomycetes; Actinomycetales; Actinomycetaceae.
AGCCCAAGCCUGCUGACGUCCGGUUCCUCGAUCCAUACGACUUCACCAGCAGGCACGGGGGACCCACCGCCGGCCAGGCCGCUACAGGCUGAGCCUCGGGGUGAAGCCCGCCUCGUGCGGGCCGGGCGCCUCCCGCUCGAACCCGACAGCUAACCUCGCAGGCUCCCCAGGAGAGAACUG